Molecule: ribosomal RNA, 253 nt
Filed under: uncultured bacterium
Lineage: Bacteria
Description: partial 16S ribosomal RNA
Rfam family: Bacterial small subunit ribosomal RNA
Source: RNAcentral
CACGGAAGGGGCAAGCGUUAUUCGACAUUACUGGGCGUAAAGCGUGCGCAGGCGGUUUUGUAAGACAGUGGUGAAAUCCCCGGGCUCAACCUGGGAACUGCCAUUGUGACUGCAAGGCUGGAGUGCGGCAGAGGGGGAUGGAAUUCCGCGUGUAGCAGUGAAAUGCGUAGAUAUGCGGAGGAACACCGAUGGCGAAGGCAAUCCCCUGGGCCUGCACUGACGCUCAUGCACGAAAGCGUGGGGAGCAAACAGG